GCGAUCAUACCAGCACUAAUACACCGGAUCCCAUCAAAACUCCGAAGUUAAACUUUUGGAUAAAAUGAAAAGGGCUCGAGUACUAGAUACUAAUCAAAAGGCU
Molecule: small RNA, 103 nt
Filed under: Salix viminalis (osier)
Lineage: Eukaryota; Viridiplantae; Streptophyta; Magnoliopsida; Malpighiales; Salicaceae
Source: RNAcentral